GCGAGACUGGCCCCGCAUCUGAGCGUUGGCCUGUUGAGACACCCGUCUGCCUAUUUUUCUAUUUUUGGAUUUACCCUGAUUUGGUGGGCUCAAGGCGAAUGCUUACGUUUCUCCUGAGCUUUCACAUGGUACCACUGCACUAUUUGACUACGGCAAGGGAAGAGAGCGGGAAAUGGAAAAAAAAUGACGUGAGAAGGCUCGGAAACAGCAGUUGCGGGAAAAGUGAACGCACGCGAGAGCAACGAUGACGUUACUGCAAGGAACAACAAGGAAAAAAAAAGGAGGGGUAACCUCGGUCACGCCAUAUGCUCUGGAUCACCGUGGAUGAAAGAAAGCAAGAACUAUGAGGGAGUGGGACCAGGAGGCAUCCAGCCUUCGCUAGGCAACCUCCUCCGACGUCCUUCUGUCUCUCCGCUCCCAAGGGGAAUCACGGGAACGGAGCCCAUCGCGCGCUGGAUCUUGGGAACAACUCAGCGGUUCCUGACUUUGCUCGAGCUAGGUCGGUCACCACGUGGAGCACUAGCAGGGAGCGGGAGGUCACCGGCUCUCCCCAGACGCGGCGUUCAACCACGGCGGUCGACCGCCCGGGCUCCACUCGGCCGGUGCCCGGUCCCCCGACACCAUCGACUGCCG
Long non-coding RNA from Dermacentor albipictus, 633 nucleotides. RefSeq lists it as uncharacterized. The record is from RefSeq and is a predicted model, not a curated record. Lineage: Eukaryota; Metazoa; Arthropoda; Arachnida; Ixodida; Ixodidae.